UCCACUGCUCCGGGGUGCACGAAUCGACGCGCUGAGAUGGUCAAACCAAACCCGCGAACUUGAACCGGUUAGUCCCGGCGGAAGGAGAGCUUGGAUUCCAGGC
RNAcentral lists this non-coding RNA (103 nucleotides) under Thiomonas sp. X19. RNAcentral's name for it is "TPP riboswitch aptamer (THI element)". It matches the Rfam family "TPP riboswitch aptamer (THI element)". Rfam says of the family: Vitamin B(1) in its active form thiamin pyrophosphate (TPP) is an essential coenzyme that is synthesised by coupling of pyrimidine and thiazole moieties in bacteria. The previously detected thiamin-regulatory element, thi box was extended, resulting in a new, highly conserved RNA secondary structure, the THI element, which is widely distributed in eubacteria and also occurs in some archaea. The record is from Rfam by way of RNAcentral. Lineage: Bacteria; Pseudomonadati; Pseudomonadota; Betaproteobacteria; Burkholderiales.